Molecule: ribosomal RNA, 253 nt
Filed under: uncultured bacterium
Lineage: Bacteria
Description: partial 16S ribosomal RNA
Rfam family: Bacterial small subunit ribosomal RNA
Source: RNAcentral
UACGAAGGGUGCAAGCGUUGUUCGGAAUCAUUGGGCGUAAAGCGCGCGCAGGCGGAUCAGCAAGUCAGAUGUGAAAUCUCGGAGCUCAACUUCGUAACUGCGUCUGAAACUGCUAGUCUAGAAUAUCGGAGGGGGCAGGGGAAUUUCACGUGUAGGGGUAAAAUCCGUAGAGAUGUGAAGGAACACCGGGGGCGAAGGCGCCUGCCUGGACGAUUAUUGACGCUGAGGCGCGAAAGCGUGGGGAGCAAACAGG